Molecule: transfer RNA, 56 nt
Filed under: Thaumamermis cosgrovei
Lineage: Eukaryota; Metazoa; Nematoda; Enoplea; Mermithida; Mermithidae
Description: tRNA-Asp
Source: RNAcentral
AAGAAUUUAGUGUAUUUAAGCACAUAUUUUUGUCAAAAAUAUAGGACUAGUUCUUG